UGAGGAAUAUUGGUCAAUGGGCGAGAGCCUGAACCAGCCAAGUAGCGUGCAGGAAGACGGCCCCAUGGGUUGUAAACUGCUUUUAUAAGGGAAUAAAGUGGGUCACGUGUGACUUUUUGCAUGUACCUUAUGAAUAAGGACCGGCUAAUUCCGUGCCAGCAGCCGCGGUAAUACGGAAGGUCCGGGCGUUAUCCGGAUUUAUUGGGUUUAAAGGGAGCGUAGGCCGGAGAUUAAGCGUGUUGUGAAAUGUAGUGGCUCAACCUCUGCACUGCAGCGCGAACUGGUCUGUAACUGACGCUGAGGCUCGAAAGCGUGGGGAGCAAACAGGAUUAGAUACCCUGGUAGU
Molecule: ribosomal RNA, 346 nt
Filed under: uncultured Prevotella sp.
Lineage: Bacteria; Pseudomonadati; Bacteroidota; Bacteroidia; Bacteroidales; Prevotellaceae
Description: bacterial SSU rRNA
Rfam family: Bacterial small subunit ribosomal RNA
Source: RNAcentral